UACGUAGAGUACAAGCGUUAUCCGGAUUUAUUGGGCGUAAAGCGUAUCGCAGGUGGGGAUAUACGUGGCGAGUGCAAGCCUUCAGCUCAACUGAAGAAUUGCUUGUCAUACGGUAUCUCUUGAGUCUGUUGGAGGGAACUGGAAUUCUUCGUGGAGGGGUGAAAUCCGUAGAUACGAAGAGGAACGCCAAGGGUGAAGACAAGUUCCUACGGCAGCACUGACACUCAUGAACGACAGCUAGGGGAGCAAAAGGG
Molecule: ribosomal RNA, 254 nt
Filed under: uncultured bacterium
Lineage: Bacteria
Description: partial 16S ribosomal RNA
Rfam family: Bacterial small subunit ribosomal RNA
Source: RNAcentral